UUUUAUGGAGAGUUUGAUCCUGGCUCAGAGUGAACGCUGGCGGCGUGCCUAAUACAUGCAAGUCGAACGAUGAAGCUUCUAGCUUGCUAGAAUGCUGAUUAGUGGCGCACGGGUGAGUAACGCAUAGGUCAUGUGCCUCUUAGUUUGGGAUAGCCAUUGGAAACGAUGAUUAAUACCAGAUACUCCCUACGGGGGAAAGAUUUAUCGCUAAGAGAUCAGCCUAUGUCCUAUCAGCUUGUUGGUAAGGUAAUGGCUUACCAAGGCUAUGACGGGUAUCCGGCCUGAGAGGGUGAACGGACACACUGGAACUGAGACACGGUCCAGACUCCUACGGGAGGCAGCAGUAGGGAAUAUUGCUCAAUGGGGGAAACCCUGAAGCAGCAACGCCGCGUGGAGGAUGAAGGUUUUAGGAUUGUAAACUCCUUUUGUUAGAGAAGAUAAUGACGGUAUCUAACGAAUAAGCACCGGCUAACUCCGUGCCAGCAGCCGCGGUAAUACGGAGGGUGCAAGCGUUACUCGGAAUCACUGGGCGUAAAGAGCGCGUAGGCGGGAUAGUCAGUCAGGUGUGAAAUCCUAUGGCUUAACCAUAGAACUGCAUUUGAAACUACUAUUCUAGAGUGUGGGAGAGGUAGGUGGAAUUCUUGGUGUAGGGGUAAAAUCCGUAGAGAUCAAGAGGAAUACUCAUUGCGAAGGCGACCUGCUGGAACAUUACUGACGCUGAUUGCGCGAAAGCGUGGGGAGCAAACAGGAUUAGAUACCCUGGUAGUCCACGCCCUAAACGAUGGAUGCUAGUUGUUGGAGGGCUUAGUCUCUCCAGUAAUGCAGCUAACGCAUUAAGCAUCCCGCCUGGGGAGUACGGUCGCAAGAUUAAAACUCAAAGGAAUAGACGGGGACCCGCACAAGCGGUGGAGCAUGUGGUUUAAUUCGAAGAUACACGAAGAACCUUACCUAGGCUUGACAUUGAGAGAAUCCGCUAGAAAUAGUGGAGUGUCUAGCUUGCUAGACCUUGAAAACAGGUGCUGCACGGCUGUCGUCAGCUCGUGUCGUGAGAUGUUGGGUUAAGUCCCGCAACGAGCGCAACCCCCUUUCUUAGUUGCUAACAGGUUAUGCUGAGAACUCUAAGGAUACUGCCUCCGUAAGGAGGAGGAAGGUGGGGACGACGUCAAGUCAUCAUGGCCCUUACGCCUAGGGCUACACACGUGCUACAAUGGGGUGCACAAAGAGAAGCAAUACUGCGAAGUGGAGCCAAUCUUCAAAACGCCUCUCAGUUCGGAUUGUAGGCUGCAACUCGCCUGCAUGAAGCUGGAAUCGCUAGUAAUCGCAAAUCAGCCAUGUUGCGGUGAAUACGUUCCCGGGUCUUGUACUCACCGCCCGUCACACCAUGGGAGUUGUGUUUGCCUUAAGUCAGGAUGCUAAAUUGGCUACUGCCCACGGCACACACAGCGACUGGGGUGAAGUCGUAACAAGGUAACCGUAGGUGAACCUGCGGUUGGAUCACCUCCUUUCUAGA
This 1510-nucleotide ribosomal RNA is filed under the name Helicobacter pylori. RNAcentral's name for it is "bacterial SSU rRNA". It matches the Rfam family "Bacterial small subunit ribosomal RNA". The record is from RNAcentral. Lineage: Bacteria; Pseudomonadati; Campylobacterota; Epsilonproteobacteria; Campylobacterales; Helicobacteraceae.